GGGGAAUUUUGGACAAUGGGCGCAAGCCUGAUCCAGCAAUGCCGCGUGCAGGAAGAAGGCCUUCGGGUUGUAAACUGCUUUUGUCAGGGAAGAAAUCUUCUGGGUUAAUACCUCGGGAGGAUGACGGUACCUGAAGAAUAAGCACCGGCUAACUACGUGCCAGCAGCCGCGGUAAUACGUAGGGUGCGAGCGUUAAUCGGAAUUACUGGGCGUAAAGCGUGCGCAAGCGGCUUUGCAAGACAGAGGUGAAAUCCCCGGGCUCAACCUGGGAACUGCCUUUGUGACUGCAAGGCUAGAGUACGGCAGAGGGGGAUGGAAUUCCGCGUGUAGCAGUGAAAUGCGUAGAUAUGCGGAGGAACACCAAUGGCGAAGGCAAUCCCCUGGGCCUGUACUGACGCUCAUGCACGAAAGCGUGGGGAGCAAACAGGAUUAGAUACCCUGGUAGUCCACGCCCUAAACGAUGUCAACUGGUUGUUGGACGGCUUGCUGUUCAGUAACGAAGCUAACGCGUGAAGUUGACCGCCUGGGGAGUACGGCCGCAAGGUUG
RNAcentral lists this ribosomal RNA (547 nucleotides) under uncultured bacterium. RNAcentral's name for it is "bacterial SSU rRNA". It matches the Rfam family "Bacterial small subunit ribosomal RNA", at positions 356 to 896 of the family's 1533-position model. The record is from RNAcentral.